RNAcentral lists this unclassified non-coding RNA (337 nucleotides) under soil metagenome. Its description in RNAcentral is "partial contains 5.8S ribosomal RNA, internal transcribed spacer 2, and large subunit ribosomal RNA". The stretch from base 1 to 120 matches the Rfam family "5.8S ribosomal RNA", at positions 35 to 154 of the family's 154-position model. The record is from RNAcentral.
GAUGAAGAACGUAGCGAAAUGCGAUAAGUAGUGUGAAUUGCAGACUUUAGUGAAUCAUCGAAUCUUUGAACGCACAUUGCGCCCCAUGGUAUUCCGUGGGGCAUGCCUGUUCGAGCGUCAUUUACCCCCUCAAGCUCCGCUUGGUGUUGGGCGUCUGUCCCGCUUCGCGCGCGGACUCGCCCCAAAGGUAUUGGCAGCGGUCGUGCCAGCUUCUCGCGCAGCACAUUGCGCUUCUCGAGGCACCGGUGGGCCCGCGUCCAUCAAGCUCACCCCCCCAGUUUGACCUCGGAUCAGGUAGGGAUACCCGCUGAACUUAAGCAUAUCAAUAAGCGGAGGA